RNAcentral lists this ribosomal RNA (501 nucleotides) under uncultured bacterium. Its description in RNAcentral is "bacterial SSU rRNA". It matches the Rfam family "Bacterial small subunit ribosomal RNA", at positions 8 to 507 of the family's 1533-position model. The record is from RNAcentral.
AGAGUUUGAUCAUGGCUCAGAUUGAACGCUGGCGGUAGGCCUAACACAUGCAAGUCGAACGCGAAAGUCCUUCGGGAUGAGUAGAGUGGCGGACGGGUGAGUAACGCGUAGGAAUCUAUCCUGUAGUGGGGGAUAACGUUUCGAAAGGAACGCUAAUACCGCAUACGCCCCACGGGGGAAAGCGGGGGAUCUUCGGACCUCGUGCUAUAGGAGGAGCCUGCGUCGGAUUAGCUAGUUGGUGAGGUAAAGGCUCACCAAGGCGACGAUCCGUAGCUGGUCUGAGAGGAUGAUCAGCCACACCGGAACUGAGACACGGUCCGGACUCCUACGGGAGGCAGCAGUGGGGAAUAUUGCGCAAUGGGCGAAAGCCUGACGCAGCCAUACCGCGUGUGUGAAGAAGGCCUUCGGGUUGUAAAGCACUUUCAGUGGGGAGGAAAAGCGGGUGGCUAAUAUCCAUCGGCCGUGACGCUACCCCCAGAAGAAGCACCGGCUAAUUCCGUG